UGUUUCAAGACGCACUCGUGAUGUGGACACGCCAGAGCGUCUUUAACUUUAAUCGAAAUGCCACGAGCGUGAAAGUCAUCAGGCUGUCACGGAUCUGCGCGUGGCCAUGACCGGCAUGAUAAAGAACCGGACGGCUUUUCUGCGAGGAAAACGGCUAAUGGGCGAAAGAUGAGGAGAAAAACAAUAGCAAAGCGCAUCCUGUACAAUGGAUACGAAGAGACACCCGAAGAAACCGGCGCGAGGGCGAACCACGUCCUCAGUCAAGAGCCGGCGAAGAGGAGAAAAUGGAGAGAACUAAAUGGAGAGGACAUCUCAUCUCGUAAUGCUGACUAUAUUAAGUUCAAAACAAAGGCUUUUGAGGUUGACAAGCCCCUUGGAGAUGCAACAAGGGGUGCAGAUUUUACUAUGGAGGUGCUCGGAAGCCUCCAAUCACGUUCAAGGGCGGAGCUUAUUGCCAUGGUGUUGAGUAUGCAGAGGGAGAUGGACGGCCUUCGAGAGCAAAUCAGAAGCCUUACAGCUUGUGGGAAGUUGGCUCAGACGCUUGAAGAGCUGAUCGAGAAGAGUGAUAGAUGGCUGUGCGGCAGCCACGAAGCUGCAACUCCCAGCAUUCCAGAGGAGCGCGAGGGAAGCAGGCCACCCAGUCACAUUUCUCUUCCAAGGGUGCUUAGUGGAAGAACAGCUGAAUGUGCAAGUUCAGAGCAGCAGGGGUGUGGUCAGUAUGAGGUCACACAAACAAUGCCUCAACGGAAUGGAACGCUUCCCGAACAAAAAGUUAUCACUGCUGAUCUCCUGGAGCGCUGCAACACAGGGACCACUGCUCAGAAACUCACCAAUGACCUGCUGCGCCGCCUCUAUGACAGAGACUGUCUGGCCUCUCACUCAAUCUCAGGCAUCAUCAACAGCAAGAGAGGGAUGCCUAAGCAAGCUCUUCCAGCACAUGAGAUCCAGGCCAUUCUGAGGACAGUGCAGCGGUUCUUCCCCGGAAAGACUGAUUCGGAAAUAAAGUGCUACAUACGACAGAAGCUUCAGAAUGAGGCCAAGAGGCUUCGGAAAAGACCACACCCAGCUGAUGAUCCAGUGAUGGGCUCAUUUGAGAAGGAGAAAGCAAUGUUUGAGCAUUGAGCGUUAACUAUCAUUGGACAUCCCCAGCAUAUUUAGUUGAAGAAUUUUACUGACACAAAAUUCUGUUAUUAACCUUAAAGGGAUAGUUCCGAAAAAGUUCUGUCAUCAUUUACUUAAUUUUCAUUUAUUGUGAUUUGAAACGACACGAGAGUAAAUUAUGACAGAAUUUUCAUUUUUGAGUAAGGCUGCAUGAUUCAUCAAAAUAAAAACAAAACAGGCUUAGCGUGAUUAUCA
Molecule: long non-coding RNA, 1356 nt
Organism: Cyprinus carpio (common carp)
Lineage: Eukaryota; Metazoa; Chordata; Actinopteri; Cypriniformes; Cyprinidae
Source: Ensembl